Molecule: ribosomal RNA, 450 nt
Filed under: uncultured bacterium
Lineage: Bacteria
Description: partial 16S ribosomal RNA
Rfam family: Bacterial small subunit ribosomal RNA
Source: RNAcentral
ACUACGGGUGGCAGCAGUGAGGAAUAUUGGUCAAUGGACGCAAGUCUGAACCAGCCAUGCCGCGUGCAUGAAGACGGCUCUAUGAGUUGUAAACUGCUUUUGUACGAGGGUAAAUCCCGAUACGUGUAUCGGGUCGCACGUAUCGUACGAAUAAGGAUCGGCUAACUCCGUGCCAGCAGCCGCGGUAAUACGGAGGAUUCAAGCGUUAUCCGGAUUUAUUGGGUUUAAAGGGGGCGUAGGCGGUUCGAGAAGUUAGAGGUGAACGCCCGGGGCUAAACUCCGGCACUGCCUCUGAUACUGUCGGGCGAGAAGUAUGCGGAAUGCGUGGUGGAGCGGUGAAAUGCAUAGAUAUCACGCAGAACUCCGAUUGCGGAGGCAGCAUACCGGCGCCCAACUGACGCUGAAGCACGAAAGCGUGGGUAUCGAACAGGAUUAGAUACCCUUGUAGUC